CUCCCUGGCAAUGGGCAAAGGCAGCCCUUGUUGGUGGUGAUGUUCUUAUGUCAGUCAAGGGCAGAACAGAUGGCAGUCCUUUGUUCAUCCUCAGUUGACUCCUGGCUUGGUAGACAAAGCUAUUUUAUGCCUAGGACGCAUAC
Molecule: non-coding RNA, 143 nt
Organism: Mus caroli (Ryukyu mouse)
Lineage: Eukaryota; Metazoa; Chordata; Mammalia; Rodentia; Muridae
Source: RefSeq, a predicted model, not a curated record